Molecule: ribosomal RNA, 520 nt
Filed under: uncultured bacterium
Lineage: Bacteria
Description: bacterial SSU rRNA
Rfam family: Bacterial small subunit ribosomal RNA
Source: RNAcentral
GGGAAUCUGCCCUUGGGUUCGGAAUAACAGUUAGAAAUGACUGCUAAUACCGGAUGAUGUCUUCGGACCAAAGAUUUAUCGCCCAGGGAUGAGCCCGCGUAGGAUUAGCUAGUUGGUGGGGUAAAGGCCUACCAAGGCGACGAUCCUUAGCUGGUCUGAGAGGAUGAUCAGCCACACUGGGACUGAGACACGGCCCAGACUCCUACGGGAGGCAGCAGUGGGGAAUAUUGGACAAUGGGCGAAAGCCUGAUCCAGCAAUGCCGCGUGAGUGAUGAAGGCCUUAGGGUUGUAAAGCUCUUUUACCCGGGAUGAUAAUGACAGUACCGGGAGAAUAAGCCCCGGCUAACUCCGUGCCAGCAGCCGCGGUAAUACGGAGGGGGCUAGCGUUGUUCGGAAUUACUGGGCGUAAAGCGCGCGUAGGCGGCUUUGUAAGUUAGAGGUGAAAGCCCGGAGCUCAACUUCGGAAUUGCCUUUAAGACUGCAUCGCUUGAAUCAUGGAGAGGUCAGUGGAAUUCCGAGU